Molecule: ribosomal RNA, 253 nt
Filed under: uncultured bacterium
Lineage: Bacteria
Description: partial 16S ribosomal RNA
Rfam family: Bacterial small subunit ribosomal RNA
Source: RNAcentral
UACAGAGGUCCCAAGCGUUGUUCGGAUUCACUGGGCGUAAAGGGUGCGCAGGCGGGCUGGUAAGUUCGAUGUGAAAGCCCCGGGCUUAACCCGGGAAUGGCAUUGGAUACUACUGGUCUGGAGGAUCGGAGGGGGGACUGGAAUUCUUGGUGUAGCAGUGAAAUGCGUAGAUAUCAAGAGGAACACCAGUGGCGAAGGCGAGUCCCUGGACGAUACCUGACACUGAGGCACGAAAGCCAAGGGAGCAAACAGG